This 345-nucleotide unclassified non-coding RNA is filed under the name soil metagenome. Its description in RNAcentral is "partial contains 5.8S ribosomal RNA, internal transcribed spacer 2, and large subunit ribosomal RNA". The stretch from base 1 to 119 matches the Rfam family "5.8S ribosomal RNA", at positions 35 to 154 of the family's 154-position model. The record is from RNAcentral.
GAUCAAGAACGCAGCGAAAUGCGAUACGUAAUGUGAAUUGCAAAUUCAGUGAAUCAUCGAGUCUUUGAACGCACAUUGCGCCCCCUGGUAUUCCGGGGGGCAUGCCUGUCCGAGCGUCAUUUCUGCCCUCAAGCACGGCUUGUGUGUUGGGCCCCGUCCUCCGAUUCCGGGGGACGGGCCCGAAAGGCAGCGGCGGCACCGAGUCCGGUCCUCGAGCGUAUGGGGCUUCGUCACCCGCUCUUGUAGGCCCGGCCGGCGCUUGCCGACACAUCAAUCUUUUUUCCAGGUUGACCUCGGAUCAGGUAGGGAUACCCGCUGAACUUAAGCAUAUCAAUAAGCGGAGGA